CAAUAGCGUAUAUUUAAGUUGCUGCAGUUAAAAAGCUCGUAGUUGGAUUUCGGGUGGGAAUGGCCGGUCCGCCGUUUCGGUGUGCACUUGCUACGCCCACCUUGCUGCCGGGGACGUGCUCUUGAGUUCACGCUCGGGACACGGAGUCGGCGAGGUUACUUUGAGUAAAUUAGAGUGUUCAAAGCAGGCCUACGCUCUGAAUACAUUAGCAUGGAAUAACACGAUAGGACUCUGGCCUAUCUUGUUGGUCUGUAGGACCGGAGUAAUGAUUAAGAGGGACAGUCGGGGGCAUUCGUAUUUCAUUGUCAGAGGUGAAAUUCUUGGAUUUAUGAAAGACAAACUGCUGCGAAAGCGUCUGCCAAGGAUGUUUUCAUUGA
Molecule: ribosomal RNA, 377 nt
Filed under: uncultured eukaryote
Lineage: Eukaryota
Description: partial 18S ribosomal RNA
Rfam family: Eukaryotic small subunit ribosomal RNA
Source: RNAcentral